This is a small nuclear RNA of Saimiri boliviensis boliviensis (Bolivian squirrel monkey), 107 nucleotides long. NCBI's taxonomy places the organism in Eukaryota, Metazoa, Chordata, Mammalia, Primates, Cebidae. The record is from Ensembl.
GUGCUUACUUUGGCAGCACAUAUACUGAAACUGGAAUAAUUCAGGGAAGAUUAGUAUGGCCCCUGUGCAAGGAUGACACAUGAAUUCAUGAAGCAUUCUAUAUUAAA